RNAcentral lists this small RNA (1337 nucleotides) under Pongo abelii (Sumatran orangutan). RNAcentral describes it as "retained intron". The record is from RNAcentral. Lineage: Eukaryota; Metazoa; Chordata; Mammalia; Primates; Hominidae.
GAGUGGGAGUGUGCAAAGCGCCGCAUCCCGGGUGGGGGGCGAGGCUUCCCCUUGCCCGCCCCUCCCCCGGCCUGCAGUCCCUCCCAGGGCCGCUUCGCGGAGCGGUUAGGAGCACGGCGGCGGCACUUUCCCCGGCAGGAGCUGGAGCUGGGCUCUGGGGCGCGCGCGGCUGUGCCGCCCGAGCCGGAGGGACUGGUUGCUUGAGAGAGAGAGAGAGGAAAGGAAUCCUGGGCUGCCGAACCGCACGUUCAGCCCGCUCCGCUCCUGCAGGGCAGCCUUUCGGCUCUCUGCGCGCGAAGCCGAGUCCCGGGCGGCUGGGGCGGGGGUCCACUGAGACCGCUACCGGCCCCUCGGCGCUGACGGGACCGCGCGGGGCGCACCGGCUGAAGGCAGCUCCGGGGCCCGCGGCCCGGACUUGGUCCUGCGCAGCGGGCGCGGGGCAGCGCAGCGGGAGGAAGCGAGAGGUGCUGCCCUCCCCCCGGAGUUGGAAGCGCGUUACUUGGGUCCAAAAUGCCCAAGAAGAAGCCGACGCCCAUCCAGCUGAACCCGGCCCCCGACGGCUCUGCGGUUAACGGGACCAGCUCUGCGGAGACCAACUUGGAGGCCUUGCAGAAGAAGCUGGAGGAGCUAGAGCUUGAUGAGCAGCAGCGAAAGCGCCUUGAGGCCUUUCUUACCCAGAAGCAGAAGGUGGGAGAACUGAAGGAUGACGACUUUGAGAAGAUCAGUGAGCUGGGGGCUGGCAAUGGCGGUGUGGUGUUCAAGGUCUCCCACAAGCCUUCUGGCCUGGUCAUGGCCAGAAAGCUAAUUCAUCUGGAGAUCAAACCCGCAAUCCGGAACCAGAUCAUAAGGGAGCUGCAGGUUCUGCAUGAGUGCAACUCUCCGUACAUCGUGGGUUUCUAUGGUGCAUUCUACAGCGAUGGCGAGAUCAGUAUCUGCAUGGAGCACAUGGAUGGAGGUUCUCUGGAUCAAGUCCUGAAGAAAGCUGGAAGAAUUCCUGAACAAAUUUUAGGAAAAGUUAGCAUUGCUGUAAUAAAAGGCCUGACAUAUCUGAGGGAGAAGCACAAGAUCAUGCACAGAGGUAAGAAGUUAUUUGCUAGUUAUUGUGCUUUGAAUUUUAGAUACAAUCCAAAGAUAGUUGCUUCCUCUUUUUUAUAUGUUUUGUUUUCGUGUAAAAGCCUUUUAAUAACAUGUUAACUCUUUUAUUAAAAGUCUUUGUUUAGUUUGGUGGCUGAGGCAGCAACUCCCACCCUCUUUUUGGUCUUGCUAUACCUAUUGCCUAUAGCUGUGAUGGACAAUAGUCAUAGUCACCCUGGAAGCCCAGCUAAGAGCCUCAGCCA